RNAcentral lists this transfer RNA (72 nucleotides) under Pocillopora damicornis (cauliflower coral). RNAcentral's name for it is "tRNA-Thr". It matches the Rfam family "tRNA". Rfam says of the family: Transfer RNA (tRNA) molecules are approximately 80 nucleotides in length. The record is from Rfam by way of RNAcentral. Lineage: Eukaryota; Metazoa; Cnidaria; Anthozoa; Scleractinia; Pocilloporidae.
GCCCUGUUAGCUCAGUGGCAGAGCACUGGUCUCGUAAACCAGGGGUCGGGAGUUCGAUCCUCCUACAGGGCU